RNAcentral lists this ribosomal RNA (757 nucleotides) under uncultured Prevotella sp. Its description in RNAcentral is "bacterial SSU rRNA". It matches the Rfam family "Bacterial small subunit ribosomal RNA", at positions 81 to 836 of the family's 1533-position model. Lineage: Bacteria; Pseudomonadati; Bacteroidota; Bacteroidia; Bacteroidales; Prevotellaceae. The record is from RNAcentral.
AUUCUUGAUGGCGACCGGCGUACGGGUGAGUAACGCGUAUCCAACCUGCCCAUCACUACGGGAUAACCCGUUGAAAGGCGGACUAAUACCGUAUGAUAUCGUUUGAUGGCAUCAGAUGACGAUUAAAGGUUUAGCGGUGAUGGAUGGGGAUGCGUCUGAUUAGGUAGUUGGUAAGGUAACGGCUUACCAAGCCUUCGAUCAGUAGGGGUUCUGAGAGGAAGGUCCCCCACAUUGGAACUGAGACACGGUCCAAACUCCUACGGGAGGCAGCAGUGAGGAAUAUUGGUCAAUGGGCGAGAGCCUGAACCAGCCAAGUAGCGUGCAGGAUGACGGCCCUAUGGGUUGUAAACUGCUUUUAUACGGGGAUAAAUGACGCCACGUGUGGUGUUUUGCAGGUACCGUAUGAAUAAGGACCGGCUAAUUCCGUGCCAGCAGCCGCGGUAAUACGGAAGGUCCGGGCGUUAUCCGGAUUUAUUGGGUUUAAAGGGAGCGUAGGCCGUCUGUCAAGCGUGCUGUGAAAUGUACCGGCUCAACCGGUGACGUGCAGCGCGAACUGUCGGACUUGAGUAUGCAGGAAGUAGGCGGAAUUCAUGGUGUAGCGGUGAAAUGCUUAGAUAUCAUGAAGAACUCCGAUUGCGAAGGCAGCUUACUGUAGCAUUACUGACGCUGAUGCUCGAAAGUGUGGGUAUCGAACAGGAUUAGAUACCCUGGUAGUCCACACGGGUAACGAUGGAUGCUCGUUGUCAGUCAUUUUUGA